CCAGGAGGGGUGGGGGCGCUGCAGACACGGAUGGUUCAGAAGAGAACACCGUUUCUGGGCAUCCUCAGCCCUACUGG
MicroRNA precursor from Bison bison bison, 77 nucleotides. The record is from Ensembl. NCBI's taxonomy places the organism in Eukaryota, Metazoa, Chordata, Mammalia, Artiodactyla, Bovidae.